This is a long non-coding RNA of Toxotes jaculatrix (banded archerfish), 273 nucleotides long. RefSeq lists it as uncharacterized. The record is from RefSeq and is a predicted model, not a curated record. Lineage: Eukaryota; Metazoa; Chordata; Actinopteri; Toxotidae. The transcript is spliced from 3 exons.
GAAAAAUGUCCCAAAGACCCACAAGAUGAGCCCAGAUGCCUUCAUACAGAUAGCGCUACAGCUGGCCUACUACAGGAUGUACCAGCGCUGCUGUGCCACAUAUGAAAGUGCCUCCCUGCGUAUGUUCAGACUGGGCCGUACAGACACAAUCCGAUCGGCUUCAAGUGCCUCAGCUGUAUUUGUCAAGGCCUUUGAUGACCCCAGCAAACAGAACACAGAAGGUCGAUCUCAUGGAGAAAGCUGUAAAAGCACACAGGGCGUACACUAACAUGG